RNAcentral lists this long non-coding RNA (1310 nucleotides) under Carassius auratus (goldfish). RNAcentral's name for it is "lncRNA (ENSCARG00000044960.1)". The record is from RNAcentral. Lineage: Eukaryota; Metazoa; Chordata; Actinopteri; Cypriniformes; Cyprinidae.
UAAAGUUUCAUUUACAUUUGACUUUUUUAAUUUUAGAAUAUAUUUAAUUUUUUGUGCUUUUGUCAUAGAUAUAUAUGUAUGUAUGUAUGUAUGUAUGUAUGUGUGUAUAUGUGUAUAUAUAUAUAUAUAUAUAUAUAUAUAUAUAUAUAUAUAUAUAUAUAUAUAUAUAUAUAUAUAUAUAUAUAUAUAUAUAUAUAUAUAUAUAUAUGACAAAAGCACAAAAAAUAAAACAUAUUCUAAAAUUAAAAUAAAGUAAUAUGUAAUAUGUUUAUUUCAUUUAGUUGCCAAAUUAACAUUUCAAAUUUUCAGUAUUAUUUUAGCGUUUUAUGAUUAAGUGUUUGAUCUUAUAUUUCAAUGUUAUUAUUAUUAUUUUAUUGGUUAAAUUUAUCUAAUUGUCGCAUUACCACUCCGCGCCUCGCUGUGGCACAUGCAUUUACUGUUUAUUUCCACGAAAAUCUGUUUGGGGACCAAGAAGAAAACCCGACUUCCGGAUAAAUAAAUAAUUCAAUGACAGUGGAAUAUCAAUAUCCAGUCAUACUGAUAAGUUUUUUUUUUAAAGAAUUUGGAUCACAAAUCUCAAUAACUUGUAUAUAAUCGACAUGAAUUCGCUUGUGGGAUACGGGCUUUCAUCCGAGUCAGAGGAUGAAGAGAAAGGAGAAGACAAGGCGAAUGAGUGCUUCAAAAAGACAGAAUGCACUGUAGAGAAGACAAAAAGCCGUAAUUUCCUGUUGGAGUCGGACUCGCCUUCCAGUGAGUCUGAAUCUGGUCCAGAGAAUGAGGAUCAAGAGGAGCCGCACGCAGCUGAUCGCUCCUUUCCCGAGCCACUCCUCUCCGUCCGUCCUCACACUCACAAGCUCCCUCCUCCACCUCUGGGAGGAUCCAGCUCGGGUGGAGCGCUUACAGGCAGCAGUGUGUUUGCUAAUCCAUUCAAAGAGCUGGCAGAGGAGAGACUGAAUGUCCUACAGAAACACGUUCCUCUUACUUUACAAGCGCGCCCCACCCAGAUUGAUGGUAAGCGCAUUUGUGUGGCCUACAGGAAGGAUGGCCGCUGCCGCUUUGGAAGCCGCUGCAAGUUCGCACAUGACAGCGAUCUGCAGAGUAACCGCGUGGUCACCUCAGACACUGGACCAAAAGACAAUGUUACAGUUCCACCACACGAUGAUGGUCUGCUGGCUCCUCGUAAGGAAGACGCAGAGACAGAUGGAGAGAAAGACAAUGAACAGCAAAAGAAGAGAAGAGUGGGGGUGAAUGAUUCUCUCAUUCCACCAAAACGUGCGCUCAAGCAGUAUGCCAGACUCUCACAACCAUAA